ACUUAGUGGCAGACGGGUGAGUAACAUGUGGGUAUCUACCCUUUGGCCUGGAAUAACACGAGGAAACUUGUGCUAAUACCGGAUAAGUCUUUACGGAGAAAGCUUUAUGCACCAUUGGAUGAGCCCGCACUUGAUUAGUUUGUUGGUAGGGUAAUGGCCUACCAAGACUAUGAUCAAUAGCUGAUUUGAGAGGAUGAUCAGCCACAUUGGGACUGAGACACGGCCCAAACUCCUACGGGAGGCAGCAGUGGGGAAUCUUGCACAAUGGAGGAAACUCUGAUGCAGCGAUGCCGCGUGAGUGAAGAAGGCCUUUGGGUUGUAAAGCUCUUUCGUCGGGGAAGAAAAUGACUGUACCCGAAUAAGAAGGUCCGGCUAACUUCGUGCCAGCAGCCGCGGUAAUACGAAGGGACCUAGCGUAGUUCGGAAUUACUGGGCUUAAAGAGUUCGUAGGUGGUUGAAAAAGUUGGUGGUGAAAUCCCAGAGCUUAACUCUGGAACUGCCAUCAAAACUUUUCGGCUAGAGUAUGAUA
RNAcentral lists this ribosomal RNA (529 nucleotides) under uncultured Pelagibacterales bacterium. Its description in RNAcentral is "bacterial SSU rRNA". It matches the Rfam family "Bacterial small subunit ribosomal RNA", at positions 90 to 653 of the family's 1533-position model. Lineage: Bacteria; Pseudomonadati; Pseudomonadota; Alphaproteobacteria; Candidatus Pelagibacterales. The record is from RNAcentral.